This 520-nucleotide ribosomal RNA is filed under the name uncultured Entrophospora. RNAcentral describes it as "SSU rRNA". It matches the Rfam family "Eukaryotic small subunit ribosomal RNA", at positions 569 to 1083 of the family's 1831-position model. Lineage: Eukaryota; Fungi; Glomeromycota; Glomeromycetes; Entrophosporales; Entrophosporaceae. The record is from RNAcentral.
AGCAGCCGCGGUAAUUCCAGCUCCAAUAGCGUAUAUUAAAGUUGUUGCAGUUAAAAAGCUCGUAGUUGAAUUUCGGGAUUGACACAUCGGUCGUGCCUUAAGGGGUAUGAACUGGUGUAGUCAAUUUCUCACCUUCUGGAGAACCGCGAUGCCCUUAAUUGGGUGUCGCGGGGAACCAGGACCUUUACUUUGAAAAAAUUAGAGUGUUUAAAGCAGGCAUUUUGCUUGAAUACAUUAGCAUGGAAUAAUAAAAUAGGACGGCAUGAUUCUAUUUUGUUGGUUUCUAGGAUCACCGUAAUGAUUAAUAGGGAUAGUUGGGGGCAUUAGUAUUCAAUUGUCAGAGGUGAAAUUCUUGGAUUUAUUGAAGACUAACUACUGCGAAAGCAUUUGCCAAGGAUGUUUUCAUUAAUCAAGAACGAAAGUUAGGGGAUCGAAGACGAUCAGAUACCGUCGUAGUCUUAACCAUAAACUAUGCCGACUAGGAAUCAGACGAUGUUAAUUUUUUAAUAGACUCGUUUUG